This 4355-nucleotide long non-coding RNA is filed under the name Lactuca sativa (garden lettuce). RNAcentral describes it as "long non-coding RNA (LSAT_LNC004182)". Lineage: Eukaryota; Viridiplantae; Streptophyta; Magnoliopsida; Asterales; Asteraceae. The record is from RNAcentral.
AGGAAGUUAUGAUUUUCUAAAGUUUUGAAUAGCAGUAUGCAGCCCGGAUACUCAAUUUGAGACCGAGCAGUUUUUAGCCGAAACAAUCUAAACGAGAAUCGAAGAUCUCGUUAAUUGUAGUGAAACGAUAAAAAGAUAGGCGAAAACGGACGUCGGAUGAAGAAGUUAUGAAUUUAUAACGGAGUUUUCUUGUCCCGACCUACUAAAAAUAAAUACAAAGUUGUAGAGCGUAGUCUCACCUACGCGUGGAUAUAAACAACGUUGAAAACAGAGUUCGUAUGAAGAAGAUAUUAAUUUUUGAAGUUUAUUAAAUAAUUAAAAUAUAAAUUUAAUUAUUAAACCCGAUAUUAUCCGAAGGGGGGGAGUCACCGGACUUAUCCGGGUUACGCCCAGUGUACAGCGAAGCAUGACCAGCCUCAGACUCGAGUGCCUCGCAUACGCAUGCAAUGACGAUUUCCGGAGUACGCCCCGCGUAACCCUAUACGCCCAGCGUACCGAGGCAGUUCAGNCAGCCUCCUAUAAAUUGGAUGCGAGGGUUCCGGGCAUAUUUGCUCAGUUCCUCUCUUUUUCGUGCCGAAGCUCUGCGUGUAAACCCCCGAAGCCGUCCCGACACCCCGGAUCUUAUAUCCAAGUUAAGAAGGAAGUUUUACGCUCCCGAGAUCCCGAGAAGUGCGAUUCCAGAGCCGAAGCUCUGCCCGCGAAGAGCCCGGUUUUUGUGAAAAUCUCCCAGAUCUACCGAAGAAUACUACUUCUACAAGUCGUAGUGUUGUCUGAUCAUCUUCUAAUCAAGUGAGUGUAUGGUUACUUUCUUCAAACGCAUAAUUAUGAAGUAUUUUAUACGAAAUACGUGUUAUGUGUAUAAUUUUGUUGUUAUGUGUGUGAAUGUAUAUUCACUUUCUUCUAUCUCAUAGAUCUGAUUUAUUCUCUAUGAAAUACGUGUUAUGUGGGUGUGCGUCAUCUGUUAUGUGGAAUAUGUAUUGAACGAGAAUGCUAUACAGGUUUUUAAACUAUGUAUAAAAAUAUAUAUUUUUAUCUACUAAUAUGUUGGGUAGAACAUUGGUAGAUAGUUGAUGUGUAAUAAACAGAUGAGAGGCCUCAAUGUUGUUGUUGUUGAUCUAGUUAUUCAACGGAGUAUGGAUUAUACCAAGAGGUUAGUUUUAGAUCCGGGAGUAUGGAUCAGGUAAAGAGAUAAAACUUGCUAUUAGUCCGGGAGUAUGGAUUAAGACUAAGUUAAUUGUCCCUAGUCUGGGAGUAUGCAUUGGGCACAGUUAUUGAUCCGGGAGUAUGGAUCAGAUCAGGAUUAGGGUAUAGUUAAUUGUCCUUAUUCCGGGAGUAUGGAUUGGGUACAAUUAUUGAUCCGGGAGUAUGGAUCAGAUCAGGAGGUUAGUUUUAGAUCCGUAAGUAUGGACCGGGUAGUUUUAGAUCCGUGAGUAUGGAUCAGGUGAAAAUAGGGAUGUCACAGUUGGUAUCAGAGCAUUAGUGUAAGCGAACUAGGAAAUUGUAGGAAAUUUCUAGACUUAAACUUAGAAUGCUAAGUAAUGAUUGUGAGGAGUGUGUCUAAAAUAUGUUAGGUAGUACACCUAAAUUGACACAAGCACUAGUUUAUUUUAGGAAUGAUGCAUAAGAUGCUUUUAUGUGCUAAAUGUUUUGUGAGAUAGCUAUAUCAAUGCUAUUAUUUGUUCGGAUCCAUGGUCUAUUGCCGACCGGAUCUGGAAACCUUAUGUGUUUAGGAUUCUAAGCGUACGACUACGAUAUUAGAACUAUCAUGUAAACGUUUCGGAGUGAUAAGGAUGAAUUAAUUAUCUAUCGUGAUUGAGGAUCUAAAUUCACCAUAUUCGGUGUGUAGAUCAAAAAUGGUAAGAACUAGAAGUGGAGUUGGAAACGUGAACAAAGACAGGAAUCAACCCCCUGUGAUUGAGCAAGCACUUGUUGUAGCAGCAACACAGAGCCAAUGACGAUGGCUGGGGUGCAAGCAAUGAUGCAGAUGAUGUUGGAUCGCCAAAUGGAGGAGACAAGGUGAUUACUCCAACAGAAUCGUGAGGAACUGUCACUUCAAGUGGAAGAGCCCGAAGUGAAUGGAGGGCAGUCGGAGGGAGGUAACUACAGUGGGACUGUUGGACAAGCAAAACCCCCAGUGGCAAAAAGGAAUGACCUGGAAAGGGAAAGAAACAGGGAUGGGCGUAUGUAUAAAAAUUUCUUGGGCGUCAAGCCGCCAAGUCUUUCUGGAAGCCCAAAGCCUGUUGAGAUUAUGGACUGGAUCUCCGAAAUGGAGAUGGUGUUUGAGGGUUGCGACUGUAGCAACAAACAGAAGACUGUCUUUGCAGUUAGACAAAUGAAGACCGGAGUCUUGAGCUGGUGGAAGUUACUGGCAGAUAUGAUGCCACGAGGGGAAGCCCUAAGAAUGUCUUGGGAAUCAUUCUUGGAGCAGUUAAAGAUGUAGUACUGCUCAGAGAUAGAUCUGAUUGAUCUGAACAAUGAAUUCCAAAACCUGAAGAAAGGUAAAUUGAGCAUUGAUGAUUAUGCCACUGCAUUUACCAAAAAGAUGAAGUUAUUUCCAUACUUAGUGUCAACUGAACUCUCAAAAAUUGAGAGGUUCACAAAUGGACUGCCUGCUGACUUUGGCCCAACGGUCAAGAUGGCAACUACUUUUAAGACAACAAUCUGAGCAGCUAGAAAUGUGGAGACCCAGUUAAAGAAAAAGGGUCUGGAGAGAAUCAAGUUGGGCAAGAAAAUAAAGAUUGAAGGAUCUUCAAGGUCCGAUGAGAAGAGAAAGUUUUCGAAGUCUGAUUCGAAGAAGCUUGAAGAAGGAGCACAAUGGUGUGACAAGUGCAAGAGGAAGCACAUUAGGAAAUGCUCUAAAGAAAUGACUUGCUUCAAAUGCGGGAAGACUAGUCAUUACGCCAGCAAAUGCCCAAACAAAAGAGAAGCCUGCUUUAAGUGUGGUGAAGAAGGACACUUCAAACAAAACUGCCCAAGAAGGGAAGAGAUUACAAAGCCAAAUGUGCCGCCAAAGCCAAAGGCAAGAGCAUUUCAAAUGAUCCUUGAUGAAGCAGAUGGCAAUGCAAGGAAUCAGGAAUAAGGAUUUUAUAUCUAAAGAUCAAGUUAUAAAGUAGCAAUAUGAAAAGUAACAUGUGGUGUAGCCUAUUAGAGGCAUAGUAUUGGGUGAACUUGAACUUUUGUGUAAUCGUUUCAAGGAAUUAAUAUAAACCCUAGUUUUGCUAACUGAUGUGUUGAAUGAUUGUCUGAUUUUCUUGUAUGGUGACUUGGUCGACUGCGGGACAAUACUUGAGACGAGUAUGAGUAGGUGUGAAAGGUAGUAGAUGCAUAUACUACCGAAAGCACAGGACUCGCACUUGGAUCAGGGAAAGUCACAAGGUUACCAAGAAGCUAGUAAUUGAUUCCGUUCUGUUCAAGUGUGUCCUUACCACUGUUUCGGUAAUGACUAGUAAGAUAGUUGUUGUUAGCGGUCAUAUCCAAUUUGAGUCCGACUACGGUGAGUAUGUUACGUGGUUCGGAGAACCAAGCUCGAAGUAACAUCUGACGUAAGUCAAAAGAUUGAAGUCAAUGCGAUCAUUGGUAUCGCACUUGUUGUUCAUAAAGUUGUACCUAGAAAUGCUACAUGAUGAAAUGUGAUUAUAUCACAUUAGAAUAUGAAGGAAGGAUAUUCCAUUUUGGAAUUUAACUCUAAGAGACUUGAGUCAAAGCGCUGCAUCAUGUGAUGAGAGGCCAUUAGAACAUGACCCAUCGAUCAGUUACAAUAGAUAAAGGAAAGUAUUUAUCCUAAGAAGAAGAAGGAGUCCACAAUAAGGACUUAUUUGGUAACUCGAAGGUUACGAUUGAAAAGUACGACAUAGUACGAUAAGCAGAGUCAAGAUUGAGCAUCGUCUGCGAUCAAGAAAUCCAUAGAGUAAAAUACUCUUUCGAGGAAACAUAGAAGUUACGGUUAUUACCUAGGAUGAAGAGAUAGCGUAUGGGAUAAUUAUACAAGUUCUAUUUUCGUUGAUGAUUCCGGGACGUAAUCAUCCUAAGGGGGAGAUAAUUGUAACGCUUGUAGAUCAGGGCUAGUCAAUUUAGAGACGAUAAGCGUCAAAAAUGACGUCUAAAUCUGACUUCGUAAGAGGAAGUUAUGAUUUUCUGAAGUUUUGAAUAGCAGUAUGUAGCCCGGAUACUCGAUUUGAAACCAAGCAGUUUUUAGCCGAAACAAUCUAAACGAGAAUCGAAGAUCUCCUUAAUUGUAGUGAAACGAUAAAAAGAUAGGCGAAAACGGACGUCGGAUGAAGAAGUUAUGAAUUUAUAACGGAGUUUUCUUGUCCCGACCUACUAAAAAUAAAUAAUAAAAAUAAAGUCAAAAUUUG